AGGAUAAACGCUGGCGGCGUGCCUAACACAUGCAAGUCGAACGUCUCUUCUUUCGGGAAGAGGAGUGGCGGACGGGUGAGGAACACGUGGGAACCUGCCCUUCAGUGAGGAAUACCGGCGAGAAAUCGCCGACAAGACCGCAUAGCCCUCUCUGGUGAGAGCCAGAGAAGGAAAGCUUCGCAAGAGGCGCUGGAGGAGGGGCCUGCGUCCGAUUAGCUAGUUGGUGGGGUAAGAGCCUACCAAGGCGUCGAUCGGUAGCUGGUCUGAGAGGACGAUCAGCCACACUGGGAUUGAGAACGGCCCAGACUCCUACUGGGGGCAGCAGUGAGGAAUUUUCGGCAAUGGGGGAAACCCUGACCGAGCAACGCCGCGUGCAGGAAGACGGCCUUCGGGUUGUAAACUGCUUUUCUUUGGGUACGAGCAAGGACGGUACCAGAGGAAUCAGCCCGGCUCACUACGCGCCAGCAGCCGC
RNAcentral lists this ribosomal RNA (472 nucleotides) under uncultured bacterium. Its description in RNAcentral is "SSU rRNA". It matches the Rfam family "Bacterial small subunit ribosomal RNA", at positions 26 to 518 of the family's 1533-position model. The record is from RNAcentral.